CCUACUGGAGGCAGCAGUAGGGAAUCUUCCACAAUGGGCGCAAGCCUGAUGGAGCAACACCGCGUGAGUGAAGAAGGGUUUCGGCUCGUAAAGCUCCGUUGUUGGAGAAGAACGUGCGGGAGAGUAACUGUUCACGCAGUGACGGUAUCCAACCAGAUAGUCUCGGCUCACUACGUGCCAGCAGCCGCGGUAAUACGUAGGUGGCAAGUGUUAUUCGGUUUUAUUGGGCGUAAGGGGAGCGCAGGCGGUUGCUUAGGUCUGAUGUGAAAGUCUUCGGCUUAACCGAGGAAGUGCAUCUGAAACCGGGCGACUUGAGUGCAGAAGAGGAAGGUGGAAC
RNAcentral lists this ribosomal RNA (337 nucleotides) under uncultured bacterium. RNAcentral's name for it is "partial 16S ribosomal RNA". It matches the Rfam family "Bacterial small subunit ribosomal RNA", at positions 338 to 667 of the family's 1533-position model. The record is from RNAcentral.